AUGAACGCCUUCCGGUUCCUGGGGGACAUGACCCACCUCUUCUCGGUCAUCGUCCUCCUCCUCAAGAUCUACGCCAACAAGUCAUGCUCAGGGGUGUCGAGGAAGACGCAGGAGCUGUACCUGGCGGUGUUCGUGGCGCGCUACCUCGACCUCUUCACCGACUACAUCUCGCUCUACAACUCCGUCAUGAAGAUCGUCUUCAUCACCACCUCCGCCGCCAUCGUCUGGUACAUGCGCCGCCACCCGCAGGUGCGCCGCACCUACGACCGGGACCAGGACACCUUCCGCCACCUCUUCCUCGUCGCCGCCGCCUUCGCGCUCGCCCUCAUCUUCAACGAGCGCUUCACCCUCCGCGAGAUAUGCUGGGCAUUUUCGAUUUACCUGGAGGCAGUGGCGAUUCUACCUCAGUUAGUCCUACUCCAGAGAAGCAGAAAUGUCGAUAACUUGACUGGACAAUAUGUUCUCUUUCUCGGGGCCUACCGUGCAUUCUACAUUCUAAACUGGAUUUACCGUUAUUUCACGGAGGGUCACCAAAGCAGAUGGAUCCCCUGGAUUGCUGGUUUGGUCCAAACUGGUCUAUACGCAGAUUUCUUCUACUACUAUUUCUUGAGUUGGAAGAACAACGUGAAGCUCGAGCUGCCUGCCUGA
This 648-nucleotide ribosomal RNA is filed under the name Triticum aestivum (bread wheat). RNAcentral's name for it is "partial small subunit ribosomal RNA". The record is from RNAcentral. Lineage: Eukaryota; Viridiplantae; Streptophyta; Magnoliopsida; Poales; Poaceae.